GAUUUAAUAUAAACAGAUACUGAAUAAUCAACAUGAAUUUCUCGUGUAGCUAUUAGUUUCUUACUGGAUCUUUAGGCCAAAGCUUUAUACAAAGACUAUGAAUACAGAUUAAGAAGAUGGCUGUGUUUUCCAGCAUGUUAACUAAUUUCUAGCUUGUCAUUAUUUACUAACUAACCAGCUUCAAGAUGGUUAUAGCAGUUUUUAAGGUUGACUCUUGGAAAUGAUGGUUAUUCAACUAGCCAAUAACCUCAAUCUCAAUUCUUUUUUUUUUUUUUUUUUGUCAACAAUCGUUAGAUAAAAGAUAAAACGCCUGCUGACAUCCUCUAUACACAUUUUAUGUCAUGUAAAUAUUAACCUAAAUAUAAAUCUAAUCAGCAUUUAUUCAGGUAAGAGCUUUUUUUAUCCAAGUGCUAACCAAUUUCCGUCUUGUUGACUGGAAUACCAUAGGAAUAACUUUUAAAGAUCGAAUCUCGUCAGUAUAGCCCCAUUAGUGUGAUAAACAAAUAUAAUGUGCAUAUAAGCACAAGUGUAUAACAUUAUCACCUGGUUGAAAGGAUGAAUUUCGAUCUGAAGAAACCAUCAACUCGACGUCCAAAUAAUUAUGAACAAGAAAUCUCAUGAUUUGGCGAGUGUGGUCGCCAUCUAGCGGCGCGAAUCCUUCUCUGCGAGGGUCAACGGUAUAAACGGUCAGCCUCAUCCGAAACAGCUUGUGGAGACUAUGCGGUGCGAAUUAAGGGUUGAAUCCCAUACAUUAAAUAAAAACAAAUGUUAAUGGGGUAUAAAAAGUCGAUUUAUGGUUAUCAGUAACCAUAAAAGUUAGACAAAGUUAGUUAAAGUGCACUUACACGGACGCUCACGAGCAGGAAAGUCCGUUCGCCUCAGAAGGGGAAGAGGGGAAACGGGGCGGAUAGAGGAGGGCGGUUCUUCACAUCGUUCACGAACAGACAAACAGACGGGGACAGAGAGACGGACAGAAGGAGCAAGAGCUGGAGGGAGGGAGGGAGGGAGGGGGAGUGCAGGAUAAAAGGGGAGUGAGAGAGAGAGAGAAAGAGUGAAAGGGUGGCAGUGUGCUUUGUCAUGUCUGAGAAAAAUGAAACCAAGCAGCUCUCAGACACACUUCUAACAUAAAAAAAAUAUUGAACAAAAAAAGUUAUGAAUGAUUAAUAAAAACAACACUCAAAAAUACA
Molecule: long non-coding RNA, 1187 nt
Organism: Cyprinus carpio (common carp)
Lineage: Eukaryota; Metazoa; Chordata; Actinopteri; Cypriniformes; Cyprinidae
Source: Ensembl